CGGAACCGGCCCUUGGCUUCCCUCUCCCAAGCACAGAGCUCCCAGCCCCCCCUGGGCGUGGGGGAGGGGCAGUCGGCAUGCGGCUCUUCAGGCCCCAGACACACCGGUGCUCCCCUCCCCUCCUGGGCUUCUGGCUUAACUGCACUUCGGGGCCCUUAAGGGGAGCGGGAGCCAUGCCACUGAGACGUGGCUGAUGGAACGCAGGCAGGAGGGUCAAAGCCAGCUUCCAGACCCGGCCCAUGAAAUGCCCCCUGCAGGAUUCGCCCCACCCCUCUUUCUCUCUCUCUCCCCAUUCCCCGAGGACGCUGUGAGCCAUGCACCGAAGAAGGCAGCAGCUCCAAAGCAGAGCAAGCCGGGCCCCUGAAGGAAGUGUGGCAGGAAAUGGGGCGUGAGAGGAUGCUCCCGUUCCAGGUCUGAGGUUGCUUAUGAUCCACCAAGAGCAAACUCUGCUGUCAUCUUUGUAUGAAGAGCCUUAUUCAGAUCUCAAGAUCGAUGCACCGCCAGGCUAGUCUUGGGAGUGGGACUACAAGUCUCCCAUGUAUAUUCAGCAUCUGGGAACCAGGCUCUGCAUAAGGGAUAGUGCUUUGGAUUUUGCAGUUGCGGGUCUGGAGUUGUGGACCCAUCGUUAAGUCUUCAAUAAUAUACUCAUCUAAAAUAAAGAGCAGUUACGUAUUCCUUAAACUAUUUCUUUGUCUAAUACCAUGCAAAAUUAAUGAAGCAAUUUAAAAAUGUUCUGAAACCUCUCAGGAGAUUGUAUCUCAUUGUGGAAGGGGUUUGUUAUUUCUAAGAUUGGAACCUCCCGUAGUAAGAAUCAGAGCGAGAUUGCAGCCAUGCUGGGAAGGUCUUGGUACAGGAGCCCGGGACCCCUGUCCUGGAUCCUGGAAGUGAUGGAGAACCACUGAAGAAUUUGACCCCUGGGUACAGAAAUGCUUUCGGAGUGAGAGUUGGGAUCCAGAGGGAGGAGAACCAUUCUUGUUCGUCAUCUUUAACUCUGUCCCCUUUCUCUGCCUUGAGUUCUGGAAUAUUUGGACAAUCUCAGCACCCAGGUCAGAGAUUCCACAUAUAAGUGAUAUCAUAUGGAAGAAGCUUCUGCUUUAGAAAAGAGCUGAACUACAGUAUGCAGAGUCCCCCAAAAACUGAAAAUAGACUUACCUCAUGAUCCAGCAAUCCCACUCCUGGGCAUAUGUCCAGAGGGAACUCUAAUUCAAAAAGAUACAUGCACUUUAAUGUUCAUAGCAUCACUAUUUACAAUAGCCAAGACAUGGAAACAACCUAAAUGCUCAGAUCAACAGAUGACAGUUGUGGUAUAUUUAUACAAUGGAAUACUACUCAGCCAUAAAAAGAAUAAAAUAAUGUCAUUUGCAGCAACGUGGAUGGACCUGGAGAUCGUCAUUCUAAGUGAAGUAAGCCAGAAAGAGAAAAAAAAAUACCAUAUGAUAUCACUUAUAUGUGGAAUCUAAAAAAAAAAAAGAAAAAGAAAACAAAAAAGGAAGACACUAAUGAAUUUAUCUACAAAACAGAAACAGACUCACAGAUAUGGUACACAAACUUAUGCUUACCCGGAGUGGGGAAGGGAGGGAGAAGGGAUAAAUGAGGAGUUUGAGAAUUGCAAGUAUUAACUACUUUAUAUAAAAUAGACAAGAAAAAUUUCUUCUAUAUAGUACAGGGAACUAUAUUCAAUAUCUUGCAUAUCCUAUAAUGAAAAAGAAUAUGAAAAUGAAUAUUUGUAUGUAUAUGUAUGACUGAAACACUAUGCUAUACACCAGAAAUCAACACAUUGUAAAUGAUUAUACUUUAAUAAAAAUAAAUAAAUAAAUAAAUAAAUAAAUAAAUAAAUAAGCUGAACUAAGUGUCCUGGAGGCCAUGUGUGGCUCUGGGGGACACAGGACACGGACAUGGACAUGGAUGUGGAGAUAGCUUUCCUUAAGAUGGAAAAGGGGCAGAGACUUGGGUCCCCAGCAUGUGGGGGCCUUGCCUUGCUUCCCGCAGCAUCGGGCAGUGGCAGGUGUGUGGCUGGGCGCUGCUCCCAUCGGUGGCUGGACCCUGAGCCCAGAGCAUCGCCUGGAAGAAGGUCCCCUGUCCAAGCUUGGACGCUGAGUCAGUCAGCGGGUACCAGCGUGGACAGAUACGACAGACAGGAUAUGCGCUUCCAGGUCACUGCAAUUCCACCGGGUGGGGAAGGAGGCUCAGAAAAGGUGGCCGCUGAGUUUACCAACAGCCCUGUACUUGUGGGUACAGAGCAUGUGACACUUGCUUUCUAGAAAUAAAAAAUCGAGACAUUUCCUCUGCCUGGUGCAUUGGAGUAAAAGCCCCACAGUCUGUGAAACUCUCUAAGUCCCCCUGUGGGGUCAUCUGUCCUGACCCGCUUCCCUGGAGCCAGGUCACACCGGGUUGUCGGUCCUGCCCGUCCUUCUGUUUCCUUUCUUCUCAUCGACAGGGAAGGACGCGUUGCUCUGCUCUCACAGCCAAAGCGCGGAAUGUUCUUCCCAGGCUGUCUGCUCCCUGUUCCUCCGUCAGUCUUCCCGAUUUUGUCUUGGCCGCCUGGCUGCCGGGUUUCAGCAGCGAGUCUGAGACGCUGGGAAGGCGACAGCGUUCCAGCCGCGGCGCCCGGGCCCGCGGGACUGGCUAAGGCCGAGCUCCGCCCUCCACCCCUCUCUGCGCAAGCGCCCUGCGCACCGCAGCCUCGGAGCUCGCCUGCCGGGAGAGGUGGAGUCUAACUCCCCGCCCCUGGGACCUGGACUGGCCUCGGCACCUGCUCUGGCCACUAGAACGAGGAUGAGCUAAGUCUGAACGAGGCCUCGGGGGACAGAGGGCGCGUCCGCUCUAAAAACCUCUUGAUUCCAGGAGAAUAAGCCCAGCCCAGGCUGCUGGGGGCUGAGACGCCACGUGGCGGAGAGCGGAGGGUCCCCCCAGCCGAGCCCAUCAGACACCAAGCAGCCCAUCCCCUGUCACAGAUGCUGACGUCAGCCCGGCCGGGCCGAGCACCCCUCAGACUCGUGACAAACAACAAACGGAUGUUGUCUGAAGUCAUUAAGUUUCGGGGUCGUUGGUUACAUAGCAACAGUGAACCGAUGACGCUCACCCAUCUGGGACGUCCGGGGUUCUCCAGGAGUAUCAAAAACAAAACCAGCCGGGCACUCGUUAGAUCUCAAGGCAACUCGUUUUCUCGUUACGUAACAAGAUACGUGUAUUUUUAGUAAUCUAGAACGUCUCCUUGGCGCGCAGUGUGAUUCUUUCCAGUACAACAUCCUAUUUUGAUACACUAGGCUCCAGGAUUCAGAUUCACCAGACACAACUGAACGUUUAAAACUCCGCUGGCUUCAUGUUCCAGAUCUGGUUGAUCUAUGAUUCUUUUACAGAAUUAGAGCCUCGGCAUAUUUAUUCCAAAGAGGGCUUAAAUCAGGCGCUUCACCACCCGAGUUCCCGGGGAGGCGCACUGCCACAGACGCUUCUGAGAUUUAUGCCUUUUUGGCAUCUGGUGUGACUGGCAGUCAGAAUUUCUAAACUAACACCCAAGAUGUGCUCAGGCAGAGGAGCCUGGAUUUGCCUUCUUCUCUGUUUUUCACAAGAACAAGUCUCAGAUGGGGGCUUGGUGUCUGGGGUCACGCCUCUGUCACAGGACCAGGCUGUACGGCUUGCGUUUCGUUCCUAAAACAGUGAUUUUUAGUUUUUCAGUCAUCAGCAGAGACAAGAUACAGAAAUGUACCCUGGGGUCUUCAUAUGUUAUAUCAAGUUAAAAACUCUGAUCCUUCUGGUAAAGGAACAGGUUAAUGUUUCUGGGAAAAAUAUGAAAAUGAGAGCAAUGCAGAAGUCUCUGCAGUGGGAUUCAGACACUGGGUGAACACUGUUGACAUCUUUAAAAAAUUUUUUAAAAAACUUCUGUUCUAUCUAGAAACAGAGCUAGAAGGGGAAUAAAUCAAAGUGCCCAGAGACAAAAUGAAAAGAAAAAGACUAUCGUCUCUUUGAUUUCUUGCAGUUAACUCCAGAACUCAGGGCUCAACUCCCCUGCAAAACAGAAAAUAAAAAAAGACGUUUUGGUCUGAAAUGCUCACUGGGGAAGAGAGAGAGAGAGAUGGACCAAGGUUUAUUGAAUAUUAGCGUGUGGCAGGAUGAGUUUCUGGGUUGCAGGUUUCUUUCCAUCAGACUGUCAGGGAGCUAAAUGAUGCUGACCGCUGAGCCCAAAGGUGACAUUAUGGAUUUUAAAAUGAGGGCAGAGUUGAAAUGCCAGCAGUUUCAGUUUUGAUGCUGGAUCUCAACAGGAAAGAGAGGCACUGGGUCAUGUGUCAAGGCCAGAGGCCUCCCCCCAGGAUGAAGAGGAGAAAUAUUUGAUGAAAAAAGUAAGAUGAAAUGGAAAAACCCAAGUGGUGAGUGGUAGUUCUGAGGUUUCCAAAGAACAGAAAUUAAAA
This is a long non-coding RNA of Camelus dromedarius (Arabian camel), 4406 nucleotides long. RefSeq lists it as uncharacterized. The transcript has 6 exons. The record is from RefSeq and is a predicted model, not a curated record. NCBI's taxonomy places the organism in Eukaryota, Metazoa, Chordata, Mammalia, Artiodactyla, Camelidae.